GCGAGUGAAGCGGCAAAAGCUCAAAUUUGAAAUCUGGUACCUUUGGUGCCCGAGUUGUAAUUUGAAGAUAGUUUUCUGGUGCUGGCCCUUGUCUAUGUUCCUUGGAACAGGACGUCACAGAGGGUGAGAAUCCCGUCUGGCGGGGUGUCCAGUGCUUUGUAGAUUUCUAUCGACGAGUCGAGUUGUUUGGGAAUGCAGCUCUAAGUGGGUGGUAAAUUCCAUCUAAAGCUAAAUAUUGGCGAGAGACCGAUAGCGAACAAGUACAGUGAUGGAAAGAUGAAAAGAACUUUGAAAAGAGAGUGAAAAAGUACGUGAAAUUGUUGAAAGGGAAGGGUAUUAGAUCAGACUUGGUGUUUUGUGAUUAUCUUCCCUUCUUGGGUUGUGCACUCGCAUUUCACUGGGCCAGCAUCGGUUCGGGUGGUAAGAUAAUGACAUUGGAACGUGGCACUACCUUCGGGUGGUGUGUUAUAGCCCUUGUUGAUGUUGCCUACCUGGACCGAGGACUGCGGCUUUUGCCUAGGAUGCUGGCGUAAUGAUCUAACACCGCCC
Molecule: ribosomal RNA, 549 nt
Filed under: Williopsis saturnus
Lineage: Eukaryota; Fungi; Ascomycota; Saccharomycetes; Phaffomycetales; Wickerhamomycetaceae
Description: eukaryotic LSU rRNA
Rfam family: Eukaryotic large subunit ribosomal RNA
Source: RNAcentral